Non-coding RNA from Cordylochernes scorpioides, 73 nucleotides. NCBI's taxonomy places the organism in Eukaryota, Metazoa, Arthropoda, Arachnida, Pseudoscorpiones, Chernetidae. The record is from the annotation of a GenBank genome assembly.
GUCCAGGGAUGGGAAACGAACCCACAGUGUUCCGAUUACCGUGCAGAUGUCAUGUCCACUAGGCUACCCUGGA